This is a long non-coding RNA of Phocoena sinus (vaquita), 2091 nucleotides long. The record is from Ensembl. NCBI's taxonomy places the organism in Eukaryota, Metazoa, Chordata, Mammalia, Artiodactyla, Phocoenidae.
CUCGACCAGGAAGCCUACACAAGCCACUGAACCAACUUUACCAGCUGAGGGCAGACAACAAAAACAACGGGAACUAUGAACCUACAGCCUGCGAAAAGGAGACACCAAACACAGUAAGCUAAGCAAAAUGAGAAGACAGAGAAAUAUGCAACAGAUGAAGGAGCAAGGUAAAAACCCACCAGACCCAACAAAUGAAGAGGAAAUAGGCAGUCUACCUGAAAAAGAAUUCAGAGUAAUGACAGUAAAGAUGAUCCAAAAUCUUGGAAAUAGAAUGGAGAAAAUACAAGAAAUGUUUAACAAGGACCUAGAAGAACUCAAGAGCAAACAAACAAUGAUGAACAACACAAUCAAUGAAAUUAAAAAUUCUCUACAAGGAAUCAAUAGCAGAAUAACUGAGGCAGAAGAAUGGAUAAGUGAUCUGGAAGAUAAAAUAGUGUAAAUAACUACUGCAGAGCAGAAUAAAGAAAAAAGAAUGAAAAGAAUUGAGGACAGUCUCAGAGACCUUAGCAACAACAUUAAACAUACCAACAUUCGAAUUAUAGGGAGUUCCAGAAGAAGAAGAGAAAAAGAAAGGGUCUGAAACAAUAUUUGAAGAGAUUAUAGUAGAAAACUUACCUAACAUGGGAAAGGAAAUAGUCAAGUCCAGGAAGGGCAGAGAGUCCCAUACAAGAUAAAUAGGAGAAACAUGCCAAGACAAUUAUUAAUCAAACUAUCAAAAAUUAAAUGCAAAGAACAGAUAUUAAAAGCAGCAAGGGAAAAUCAACAAAUAACAUAUAAGGGAAUCCCCAUAAGGUUAACAGCUGAUCUUUCAGCGAAACUCUGCAAGCCAGAAGGGAGUGGCAGGACAUAUUUAAAGUGAUGAAAGGGAAAAACCUACAACCACUAUUACUCUACCCAGCAAGGAUCUCAUUCAGAUUCGACACAGAAAUUAAAACCUUUACAGACAAGUAAAAGUUAAGAGAAUUCAGCACCACCAAACCAGCUUUACAACAAAUGCUAAAGGAAUGUUUCUAGCCAGGAAACACAAGAGAAGGAAAACACCUACGAAAACAAACCCAAAACAAUUAAGAAAACAGUAAUAGGAACAUACAAAUCGAUAAUUACCUUAAAUGUAAAUGGAUUAACGGCUCCACCCAAAAGACACAGACUGGCUGAAAGGAUACAAAGACAAGACCCCUAUAUAUGUAGUCUACAAGAGACCCACUUCAGACCUAGGGAAACAUACAGACUGAAAGUGAGGGGAUGGUAGAAGAUAUUCCAUGCAAAUGGAAAUCAAAAGAAAGCUGGAGUAGCAAUACUCAUAUCAGACAAAAUAGACUUUAAAAUAAAGACUAUUAAAAGAGACAAAGAAGACAUAAUGAUAAAGGGAUCAAUCAAAGAAGAUAUAACAAUUGUAAAUAUUUGUGCACCCAACACAGGAGCACCUCAAUACAUAAGGCAAAUACUAAAAGCCAUAAAAGGGGAAAUUGACAGUAACACAAUCAUAGUAGGAGACUUCAACACCCCACUUUCACCAAUGGACAGAUCAUCCAAAAUGAAAAUAAAUAAGGAAACACAAGCUUUAAAUGACACAUAAGACCAGAGGGACUUAAUUGAUAUUUAUAGGGCAUUCCAUCCAAAAAUAACAGAAUACACUUUCUUCUCAAGUGCUCAUGGAACAUUCUCCAGGAUAGAUCAUAUCUUGGGUCACAAAUCAAGCCUUGGUAAAUUUAAGAAAACAGAAAUCAUAUCAAGUAUUUUCUCGACCAAAGUACUGUCAGACUAGAUAUCAAUUACAGGAAAAAAACCUGUAAAAAUACAAACACAUGGAGGCUAAACAAUACGCUACUAAAUAACCAAGAGAUCACUGAAGAAAUCAAAGAGGAAGCCAAAAAAUACGUAGAAACAAAGGACAAUGAAAACACGAAGACGCAAAACCCGUGGGAUGCAGGGAAAGCAAUUCUAAGAGAGAAGUUUAUAGCAAUACAAUCCUACUUUAAGAAACAAGAAAAUCUCAAAUAAACAACCUAACCUUACACCUAAAGCAAUUAGAGAAAGAAGAACAAAAAUCCCCCAAAGUUAGCAGAAGGAAAGAAAUCAUAAAGAUCAGAU